Loxodonta africana (African savanna elephant) is the source of this 58-nucleotide non-coding RNA. NCBI's taxonomy places the organism in Eukaryota, Metazoa, Chordata, Mammalia, Proboscidea, Elephantidae. The record is from Rfam.
UGGCAUAGUGGUUAAAUGCUAUGGCUGCUAACCAAAGGGUCGGCAGUUCAAAUCUGCC